GGCCUCGUAGCUCAGUUGGCUAGAGUGUUGGCUGUACUAAAGCCAUUCCCUGUUGUCAUGGGUUCGAAUCCCACCGAAGCCA
This 82-nucleotide transfer RNA is filed under the name Schistocephalus solidus. It matches the Rfam family "tRNA". From Rfam's summary of the family: Transfer RNA (tRNA) molecules are approximately 80 nucleotides in length. Lineage: Eukaryota; Metazoa; Platyhelminthes; Cestoda; Diphyllobothriidea; Diphyllobothriidae. The record is from Rfam by way of RNAcentral.